Non-coding RNA from Microcebus murinus (gray mouse lemur), 4590 nucleotides. Lineage: Eukaryota; Metazoa; Chordata; Mammalia; Primates; Cheirogaleidae. The record is from RefSeq and is a predicted model, not a curated record.
UUCCUUCCCCCUUCCCCACUUCCUUCCCCUGUGUGUGUGUAUGUGUGUGUUUGUGUUCGUUCUGAGAGGAAAGAAGGGAGCUUUAGCACAAGGGCUUGAGCUAAGUAGUGUUUUCCAGGAUUAGUUGUCUUGAACUCCAAGGUUUGGAUAGUCUUCACUGAACUCCCAAGUUAGUGGAUUGCAAAAUUGAAACUUGGCUUUUGCAGGGUUGGGUGGGUUUAGGUUGUUUGUGUGUCUCUUGCUGGGUGGUAGUCAUGACUGUAUCAGCUCAUGUGGCCUCCACGGAAUCUGAGAGCCAAGUGUUACCUCCUCCCCGUCUUCCUCACCAGCCUCCCUCCCUGCACCCCCACAAGCUUGGCUUGUGGUCUUUGUCAUCAGUAACCCACUGCCUGAGAUCAUGAUCUCUUAAAGUUGAGACUCUCAGAAGGGUUGAUUAUGUGUGUCAGUGAGCCUUCUAACUCUUUCUAGAACAAAGGCACUUGAAAUGUCUUUAUUGAAUUAAGGAGUAUUGCUAAAGAGGUCUGCUUUGGGCCCCAGCAGCACCUGGAAUCGCCAGGUGUGAGUGCAGGAAGCUAGUUGAGGGCUGCCCCUUGGGCCGGUGCUUCAGGAGGACUCAGGGAGGUUUCACACGCCUCCUCCCGACUCCUUGCUAAUUUUAAUCAGCUCUUUAAAUAGUUGCCCAUCUCCCAUGAUUGCACAACUGCUCACUUUGACAUUUGCGCCUAGGAAAAGGCAGGUGUUAUAAUGGAUCCAAAGACCUAGUGGGGUGGGGCUGGGUGGGAGGCGCUCCGGUGCCCUGUGGGCCUAGUGCCAGGCAGUUUCCUGGUUCUUACCAGGAAAAAAACAAAGCUUUAGAGGAAGCAGGCUCUGCCCCUGGGUCCUUGAAUGCCCCAUUGCUUUUUAAAUUGGUAUUUAGCUAGUGAUGUCUAAGACUUUGUUAUAAUUUCUACUGAUUUUCUUGCUGCCUCAAAUACACAGCUCCUCUCUGAGGAAAGUAAAAUGAGUAAGGAUAUGGGGAAAUCGGAUACGGAGACAUCCAAGACCAUCCCAAUUCCCUGACCCAACCACUGGCCGACUCAUGUUGCCGCCCAACCAUAGCUGCUUUUCUCCGCCCGCUGGAAGGACUGGCCAGGCCCAGUGUCCCUCCCACCCUGCCCCGCGCCCCUGGGCCUGGUCACUACACGAUGGAAAACAGACAAGCAGCCUCUUCCCCAGCCCAGGGUGUCUUGUUGCUUGGUGGACUCACCGCAAUGUGCAGAAGGCUCCAGGGCCACUUUCUUUUUAAGUAUCAUCUGUGCCUCAAAAUAUCAUAGUAGCUGCUUGAUCAAAUUCUGAAAAUAAAAUAUCUGGUUCUCUACUGUGUAAACACUAUUACAAUCACCAGUGUGUUAAGACUCUUGAACUUGGUUCUCAUGUCAGAGUCAUCCUUUUCUUCCUGUGGAAUAAAAUGUUCUGUCGACUUCCCAGAUUUGUACUUUGUUUUCUUCUGGUUUCUUGGUAAUCCAUAGAUUCUAGAACUAUCUCCAAUGGCAAAUACUAAAUACGGUAUAAUAUUUGCAAUGAAAUGUAGCCUCUGCCUGCAGCCCAGGGAGGCACGUGCCAGGGCAGACCCCACGCACUGAGCAGGUCCCGACUUCCCAAGAGUAGGACGUGGCACUCGCCUCUGCAGGCCCGGAGGCGCCACGCCGAGGUGACCGGUGCAGUCCCCAGCGGGACGGAAGUCGUCACUUGGCGUUUAGACCAAUGAAGUGCAAACAGCAAAGGAGACUCAGCAGGCACUUCCAGGGACGGAGCGACACCAAGAGGGUGUGGUCCAGAAAGGUUUCAAAGCCGAACUAAUCGGGGUUUGAGAACCAACACUGAACAAUGCAGUUGGCAGCGUCAAAGUCACUGGGAGCAGUUGCAGAGGAGGGGUGGGGCCGGGUCGGAGGAGAAAAAUGGAAGGAGAGAAGCUGGAGAGAAGGAGUCUGACCCUCUGGAGGAGUCCGGCCGUAAGCGGAAGAGAGCCCUGACCUACAUCUUCAAGUGGCCUGAGGGGCCGUUUCUAACCGAAGCUAUAUCCUCUGGAACGGCAGUAAGUGCUUAAAGUAAACAAAGUUAGAAGAAAGGCUACAGAAGAAAAGAACACAGCAGCCUUAAUUAAGCUUCCUCCAAAUAAUCCAGUUGGAACUUUAGAGGGAUUUGAUGCGGGAACAAUUGCGCUACAGAGCUGCCUUCUCCGCGCCCAGGAGCCGGGCCAAGCCAUUUGUCGCUCUGAGAGGAGCCAGACCAUGUUCUCUCACAGUCGUUGCCCAAGCAGCACACCCAGCAUAAAUAGUUCCCAGGGGCUAAUAAAACUUCACACCUCAUGCUUAUUCUGGUCUGACUCAAAAUCACAAAAAGGUCACGGAUGCAUUUUGACUUGGAGGAAACGUAUAGAUCUAGGCCAACUUGACUCUUGGAAACCCUGGGCAGGUCUGCCCUGGAGGGAGGUGGUGUGUGAGAGUGGGGAGGGGACAGGAGCUGAGAUGACUCCCAGGGCCACUUUAGGGGGAAAAUUCCUGCCUUCUGGGCAUGUCUUCCUAAGACACUUAACUUGAGGGUACAUGGAGACUUCUGGGAAGUUUGGCCAGCCCUGCAGAAAGGCAGCUCUCAGUUUGUUCGAUGAUUUGUCCGUAGAGAUCACACACCCCCAGGUGUCCCCCCAAACACAGGUGACUCUGAUUCUAGAGUAACCAAGCCUCUGGCCCUCUGACUACAGGGACACACUGCCAGCCCUUGCUGUCUAGCAUGUCCCGUGUGCCAGGCUCAGGAUUGGAUGCUGGGGACACGCAAUCAAUAGGGGGACACUCUCGCCACCCUCCCUGAACUAAAUUAACGGACGUUGGGGUGCAGCAGGGAAGACUGCACUGAGGAAGAGGCAGGCGAUCCGAGUCCAGAAAGGCCGAGAAGGAUGCACGAGGCAAAGGGGAAAGGGCGGUGCCCACAUGCAGUCGGCGCUGUGCAGCGCUGGUCACCGGCGAGGACCAGUAUCUCCAGACUGGCUGGAGUACAAGGACGGGAGGUGGGAGGUGGCCGGGGCCAGAUCAUCUUGGACUUCAUAAGUCAUGCUCGGACAGGUUUUAGGCCAAGGAUUCCACGGUAAGAUUGGCAUCUCAAAAAAUACCUCUCCGGGUGCAAGUGGAGCCGGGGCAGCGUGGAUCGGGAGUGGAAGGCCGCUGCAGUAGUCACGGCAAGAAGUAAGGCGCGCUCGGGCGGGACGGAGAAGCAUACCGAGUUGGGACAUGUUCUUGAGCAAGAACAGACAAACCAGAGGGAUCGAUUUAAUGUAGAGAGGAGACAAAAAGAUACCUAGGGCAGCUCCCAGGUUUCCUGCUUCAGUAGCCAGUGGUGCGCUUGCAAUCGGGGCAGACGGGACGGUGGCAGGAGCAGGGCGUGAGAGGCGGGGCCGGAGCGAGCCGUGGGGAACAAGUGGAGUGAGCGAAGGACACUGAGCAGCGGGGACUGGAGGGGCCGGUGGGAAAGGCAAGAACGUUCCACGAAAGAGGAUGUCGGCGGUGUCACAGCGGGUGCACGUUGUGUUGCACAGCGCGGAGGGGUCAGAAAGGUUCUGUUGGAAUCGCGGGAGCAGGAGCGACGUGAGACAGCGGGAAGUGGGGACGGCAGGGCAAGUAGAGGCAGUGGGUGGGACGGGGGCCACGGAAUGGUUGGCCCAUGGCAGCCAGCAGGAGUGGGACCCUCGGCAAAUGAAAGCGUGACAUGGCCACCUGUGGACAAUUCCAAACAAUAAGAAAACCAGGCCUGGAAGCCAGUCUGCUUUUUAUUACCACCACGCUCUUGGCAAUUCUAAACAAACCUGGAGAUUUUCUGUGAAGAUAAGAUUUCCCUCCCUUUAAAAAUCUUCAGUGGGUUUAAAUUCCAUUGAGUUUGCGUGUGUGCUUCAAAUUAGCACAUUUCUAUUUUCCUUUAAUAAGCCUUGCAUUCCACGUGGACAGUAAUUCUGAGAACGGCCAGUUGUGCAGUGGGCGCCAACGCACCUGGCCCCAGCCGCACACCUUCCUGCGGAGAGAAUAUUCUAUGGGUUUGGAACUGUUCAGGCUUGCUUGGGGCACAGUUCAAGGCUCCCAGCCCCCUGUUCCUGCCUAUUCCUGCAUUUAAACAGGUUCGAAGUGAACAGUGACACACAGUGAUUGUAAAGAAGCAAUAGAACUUGGGUCGCUUCAAUUCUGUCAUUCUAUGGGACCGCUUGCAGUUUGUGUUUAAAAAUUUAAGCAGCGAAACAGGGUGCAUGCAGACUAUGAAGUGCAAUCUUUUUGUUUGGUAAGUGCAAAUUUUUGUUCAUAUAGGAAAUAUAAAUAAAAUAGUUACAUUAGUCGUAUGAUUUAGUAAUUACCAAAAUUAUAGAUGUACCUUUUGCAGAGGUAGUGAUUUCAUUAAAAUCCACCUAGAAGUUACUACAGGAUUAUUUAAGCAUUUGUUGUAUGGGGCUAUAACCAAAACAUAAAAAUCCAAGCCAUUAAAUAAAUAUAAAAAUAUGAUAUGAUUAAGUAAUUCUGCCCUUUUUGUAUUAUGAUACUUAUUUAAUUUUUACUGGCAUAAUUAUGGACUUUU